RNAcentral lists this transfer RNA (57 nucleotides) under Heterocephalus glaber (naked mole-rat). It matches the Rfam family "tRNA", at positions 8 to 63 of the family's 71-position model. Rfam says of the family: Transfer RNA (tRNA) molecules are approximately 80 nucleotides in length. Their secondary structure includes four short double-helical elements and three loops (D, anti-codon, and T loops). The record is from Rfam by way of RNAcentral. Lineage: Eukaryota; Metazoa; Chordata; Mammalia; Rodentia; Bathyergidae.
UAGCUCAGUGGUAGAGUGCUUGCUUAGCAUGCAUGAGGCCCUGGGUUCAAUCCCCAG